RNAcentral lists this ribosomal RNA (494 nucleotides) under uncultured bacterium. Its description in RNAcentral is "bacterial SSU rRNA". It matches the Rfam family "Bacterial small subunit ribosomal RNA", at positions 28 to 514 of the family's 1533-position model. The record is from RNAcentral.
GACGAACGCUAGCGACAGGCCUAACACAUGCAAGUCGAGGGGCAGCACAGAGGUAGCUUGCUACUUUGGGUGGCGACCGGCGCACGGGUGCGUAACAGGUGUGCAAUCUGUCCAUAAUCGGGGAAUAGCCCAGCGAAAGUUGGAUUAAUGCUCCAUGUGAGUAAGAGAGGCAUCUCUUUUAUUUGAAACGCAAGGAUUAUGGGUGAGCACGCUUCUGAUUAGGUAGUUGGUGAGGUAACGGCUCACCAAGCCGACGAUCAGUAGGGGUUCUGAGAGGAAGGUCCCCCACAUUGGAACUGAGACACGGUCCAAACUCCUACGGGAGGCAGCAGUGAGGAAUAUUGGUCAAUGGGCGAAAGCCUGAACCAGCCAAGUCGCGUGAAGGAUGACUGCCCUACGGGUUGUAAACUUCUUUUGUUUGGGAAUAAAAGACGCUACGUGUAGCGUUCUGCAUGUACCUUACGAAUAAGCAUCGGCUAAUUCCGUGCCAGCAG